GGGUGUAUAGCUCAGUGGUAGAGCAUUCGAUUGUAGAUCGAGAGGUCUUCGGCUUAAAACUCGGGUGUCCCCU
Molecule: non-coding RNA, 73 nt
Organism: Trichonephila inaurata madagascariensis
Lineage: Eukaryota; Metazoa; Arthropoda; Arachnida; Araneae; Nephilidae
Source: the annotation of a GenBank genome assembly